UGGGGAAUAUUGGACAAUGGGCGAAAGCCUGAUCCAGCCAUGCCGCGUGUGUGAAGAAGGUCUUCGGAUUGUAAAGCACUUUAAGGUGGGAGGAAGGGCAGUAAGCGAAUACCUUGCUGUUUUGACGUUACCGACAGAAUAAGCACCGGCUAACGCUGUGCCAGCAGCCGCGGUAAUACAGAGGGUGCGAGCGUUAAUCGGAUUUACUGGGCGUAAAGCGUGCGUAGGCGGCUAAUUGAGUCGGAUGUGAAAUCCCCGAGCUUAACUUGUGAAUUGCAUUCGAUACUGGUUAGCUAGAGUGUGGGAGAGGAUGGUAGAAUUCCAGGUGUAGCGGUGAAAUGCGUAGAGAUCUGGAGGAAUACCGAUGGCGAAGGCAGCCAUCUGGCCUAACACUGACGCUGAGGUACGAAAGCAUGGGGAGCAAACAGG
This 429-nucleotide ribosomal RNA is filed under the name Pseudomonadota bacterium. RNAcentral's name for it is "Proteobacteria bacterium partial 16S ribosomal RNA". It matches the Rfam family "Bacterial small subunit ribosomal RNA", at positions 355 to 776 of the family's 1533-position model. The record is from RNAcentral. Lineage: Bacteria; Pseudomonadati; Pseudomonadota.